CCCUUAGAUGUUCUGGGCCGCACGCGCGCUACACUGACGAAUGCAACGAGCUUAUAACCUUGGCCGAAAGGUCUGGGUAAUCUCCAAAUUUCGUCGUGAUGGGGAUAGAUUAUUGCAAUUAUUAAUCCUCAACGAGGAAUGCCUAGUAAGCGCAAGUCAUCAGCUUGCGUUGAUUACGUCCCUGCCCUUUGUACACACCGCCCGUCGCUCCUACCGAUUGAAUGGUCCGGUGAAGCGCUCGGACCGCGGCCUCUUGACGGUUUUCCGUCGAUUGGCUGUGGGAAGUUCGUUAAACCUUAUCAUUUAGAGGAAGGAGAAGUCGUAACA
This 327-nucleotide ribosomal RNA is filed under the name uncultured eukaryote. RNAcentral's name for it is "partial 18S ribosomal RNA". It matches the Rfam family "Eukaryotic small subunit ribosomal RNA", at positions 1470 to 1796 of the family's 1831-position model. The record is from RNAcentral.